This 357-nucleotide long non-coding RNA is filed under the name Carica papaya (papaya). RNAcentral describes it as "long non-coding RNA (CPAP_LNC015622)". Lineage: Eukaryota; Viridiplantae; Streptophyta; Magnoliopsida; Brassicales; Caricaceae. The record is from RNAcentral.
UAAAGAAGUGAAUGCAUAAGUUUUAUGGAAUAAAGUGAAAAAUAUGUAUGCACCCAUCAUCUUCCUGAGCUCAUCAGCAACAAUAAUGGCGACAUACAAAUUGCAUUUUGAAAAUAGAUACUCAAUGGUUAACAGAUUAUCUUAAUGGUAGAAAUGUGCAUUGGUAAAUAAGUACGUCUUUGAAUUCUCUAUCCUUGAAGGCGUAAGCAGAGAUCCAAAAAGCUUCUUUACUCGUAACGAGGUCCUAACUUUAACCCAGUUAUACAUAAUAGAAACAUUAUCGUUCAACAUCAUUUCUCAAUAUUCUUCAUAAAUAUAUGAAUCCAUUAAAGCCUACAUCAUCUACCAUCUUGAAAU